This is a long non-coding RNA of Grus americana (Whooping crane), 223 nucleotides long. RefSeq lists it as uncharacterized. The record is from RefSeq and is a predicted model, not a curated record. The transcript is spliced from 3 exons. Lineage: Eukaryota; Metazoa; Chordata; Aves; Gruiformes; Gruidae.
CGCGGCUCCGGGACGGGCUGAGCGUGGGCUGGGCGUCCGGUCGGGUCGUUUAUCAUGCAGCUUCGCAAACACCAGGCAGUGGCACUCAGCGGAAGAGCUUCACAGUGGUGGGAGAAAGCAUCUCAGAGUAGAGGCAGCAAAGGGCUGAUGUGGAAGAGAGUCGAAGGCAAAGGAAAAGAGGACAGGCGAUAAAACACAUUAACAAGAGAACUAAGUUAUGAGC